Molecule: non-coding RNA, 216 nt
Organism: Pelobates cultripes (western spadefoot toad)
Lineage: Eukaryota; Metazoa; Chordata; Amphibia; Anura; Pelobatidae
Source: the annotation of a GenBank genome assembly
AAAUACACCUCUGCAAAAAAAAAACUAAAACUAUAGCGAUGAGUAAUACGGCUUUAGUCCAAACAUUUCCAGUGUUCAAACUAGAGGGUAUCAACUUCCACAUGGAAAGCAAUUUAAUUCUUGUGCAAAUGUGACAUUUUUUAAAGUGCAUUAAAGGCCAGUCCCACAGAGCAACAUAUACUAAAAUUGCUACAUAUUGAAAUUGAUAUCCCUGUG